Molecule: ribosomal RNA, 480 nt
Filed under: uncultured bacterium
Lineage: Bacteria
Description: SSU rRNA
Rfam family: Bacterial small subunit ribosomal RNA
Source: RNAcentral
AGGACGAACGCUGGCGGCGUGCUUAACACAUGCAAGUCGAACGGUAAGGCCUUUCGGGGUACACGAGUGGCGAACGGGUGAGUAACACGUGGGUGAUCUGCCCUGCACUUUGGGAUAAGCCUGGGAAACUGGGUCUAAUACCGAAUAUGACCAUGGGAUGCAUGUCUUGUGGUGGAAAGCUUUUGCGGUGUGGGAUGGGCCCGCGGCCUAUCAGCUUGUUGGUGGGGUGAUGGCCUACCAAGGCGACGACGGGUAGCCGGCCUGAGAGGGUGUCCGGCCACACUGGGACUGAGAUACGGCCCAGACUCCUACGGGAGGCCGCAGUGGGGAAUAUUGCACAAUGGGCGCAAGCCUGAUGCAGCGACGCCGCGUGAGGGACGACGGCCUUCGGGUUGUAAACCUCUUUCAGUAGGGACGAAGCGCAAGUGACGGUACCUACAGAAGAAGGACCGGCCAACUACGUGCCAGCAGCCGCGGUAA